GACUAGGCGCUGCGGUGUGACACUACAUAUCCCCGCCACGACCCUAGGCCGUUCGCGAAGGCGCUCCUAGACUGGCUGCACGCACUCCGUGCUUCAGCCUCCGGCCUGCGUCCCUCCACAGGCUCAGCCCUUUCCCUGCGGCCGUUCCCCGUUCCCGCCUCAGUCCGCUGGUAGGGCUGCUGUACGCCGGUGCCUCGAGGCGCCGGCAGGGGACGGGAACGCCUCCGUGUCGGCACCUCCCCCUUAAGCUGCCCGAAGCCUGCCUGCGCCCGCCUGCGCCCGCCUCCGAAGCGGCGCGCGACGCCCAGCGCCCCGAGGCGCGGGCCGGUGCUCACCCAGGCCUAGGCCCGGGCCGCUAGCAAGACCGAGCCCCACCGCAUUUUAUUUUAUUUCGUUCGUGGUUUUGCACAGACUGAAGUUUCGUGAGUUAGGUUAAACUCGGGACCUUCUCGAAGAGGACCCAUUUAUUUUUUUUUUCUUUCCAAAAUGGCAGCCUCCAGCCGCGCACAAGUGUUAGAUCUGUACCGGGCGAUGCUGAGAGAGAGCAAGUAUUUCAGCGCCUACAAUUACAGAACUUACGCUGUCAGGAGGAUAAGAGAUGCCUUCAGAGAAAAUAAGAAUGUAAAGGAUCCUGUAGAAAUUCAAGCCCUAGUGAAUAAAGCCAGAAGAGACCUUGGAAUAAUUCGUCGACAAAAUACAGCUGUCUCCAAGCCCAUGUGAGCCCGCUGGAGGAUGAGAUACAAUGAGGAAGAGAGCCAAGGUGCCCACUUGACAGCCAGCUCGCCCCCAGAAGCAGAGCCCCCUAGUCAACGAGCAGCUAACCACACACGCAUGAAGGAGCCCAGCAGAGACCAGACUGGUCCUGCGGAACCCAGCCUAAACUGCUGACCAGCUCAGUCAUGAGCUAGGUCAAGAGGAGUCACCUCCCCAAGGUCAAGAGGAACCCUGAGUGCUGCAUUUCCAAUGUGACAGCCUCUCAACACAUGUGAGUGCUCAGCACCUAGAACGUGGCUGGUCCAAGUUAUGAUGCGCUGAAAGUGCAAAAUAGAGUGAAUUUCAAAGAUCUAAUACAAAAAGUGUUGAGAUUUAAAACUACAGACGUGACUCACUUCCUGCUUCUACCGGACAUUGCUCUCUUCAAGGACCGCCUCCUUUUCAAAGCGCGGGCUGCCUCCUCAGAAGAGCAGAGGACAGGAAGAUUAGGAAAUCUGAAAUUUUGAAAGAACUUGGCAUUUUACUGGUUCCACUUGUGAAUAAGGGAUUUAAUAAGGCUUUAAAUUUAAGAUUUAAUAUUA
Molecule: RNA transcript, 1295 nt
Organism: Zalophus californianus (California sea lion)
Lineage: Eukaryota; Metazoa; Chordata; Mammalia; Carnivora; Otariidae
Gene: LYRM4
Gene name: LYR motif containing 4
Exons: 5
Source: RefSeq, a predicted model, not a curated record